UACAGAGGUGGCAAGCGUUGUUCGGAAUUACUGGGCGUAAAGGGCGCGUAGGCGGCCUUCUAAGUCGAACGUGAAAUCCCUGGGCUCAACCCAGGAACUGCGUCCGAUACUGGAAGGCUUGAAUCCGGGAGAGGGAUGCGGAAUUCCAGGUGUAGCGGUGAAAUGCGUAGAUAUCUGGAGGAACACCGGUGGCGAAGGCGGCAUCCUGGACCGGUAUUGACGCUGAGGCGCGAAAGCCAGGGGAGCAAACGGG
Molecule: ribosomal RNA, 253 nt
Filed under: uncultured bacterium
Lineage: Bacteria
Description: partial 16S ribosomal RNA
Rfam family: Bacterial small subunit ribosomal RNA
Source: RNAcentral